GGGCGGCUGGCGCAAUGGUAGCGCGUUGGUUUUCGGUUAUCCCCAAAUCGCCAAAGGUUGUAGGUUCGAGCCCUGCGUCGCUCG
Molecule: transfer RNA, 84 nt
Rfam family: tRNA
About the family: Transfer RNA (tRNA) molecules are approximately 80 nucleotides in length. Their secondary structure includes four short double-helical elements and three loops (D, anti-codon, and T loops).
Source: Rfam